RNAcentral lists this ribosomal RNA (272 nucleotides) under uncultured Parabacteroides sp. Its description in RNAcentral is "partial 16S ribosomal RNA". It matches the Rfam family "Bacterial small subunit ribosomal RNA", at positions 70 to 339 of the family's 1533-position model. Lineage: Bacteria; Pseudomonadati; Bacteroidota; Bacteroidia; Bacteroidales; Tannerellaceae. The record is from RNAcentral.
CAGCACAGGUAGCAAUACCGGGUGGCGACCGGCGCACGGGUGAGUAACGCGUAUGCAACUUACCUAUCAGAGGGGGAUAACCCGGCGAAAGUCGGACUAAUACCGCAUAAAGCAGGGAUCCCGCAUGGGAAUAUUUGUUAAAGAUUCAUCGCUGAUAGAUAGGCAUGCGUUCCAUUAGGCAGUUGGUGAGGUAACGGCUCACCAAGUCCACGAUGGAUAGGGGUUCUGAGAGGAAGGUCCCCACAUUGGUACUGAGACACGGACCAAACUCC